GAUGAACGUUGGCGGCGUGCCUAAUACAUGCAAGUCGAACGAAGACUGUAGUAAUACUGUCUUAGUGGCGAACGGGUGAGUAACGCGUGGGUGACCUGCCCCGAAGUGUGGGAUAACAGUUCGAAAGGAUUGCUAAUACUGCAUAAUAUCCAAGAGAUUAGACGCUUUUGGAUUAAAGGAGUAAUUCGCUUCGGGAGGGGCCCGCGUCCCAUCAGCUAGUUGGUAAGGUAAUGGCUUACCAAGGCGAUGACGGGUAGGGGACCUGAGAGGGUGGCCCCCACAAUGGAACUGAAACACGGUCCAUACACCUACGGGUGGCAGCAGUAGGGAAUAUUAGUAAUGGGCGAAAGCCUGAACUAGCAACGCCGCGUGUGCGAAGAAGGCCUUCGGGUUGUAAAGCACUUUUGUAGAGGAUGAGGGAAGGACGGUACUCUCAGAAUAAGUCUCGGCUAACUACGUG
This 460-nucleotide ribosomal RNA is filed under the name uncultured bacterium. RNAcentral's name for it is "bacterial SSU rRNA". It matches the Rfam family "Bacterial small subunit ribosomal RNA", at positions 28 to 507 of the family's 1533-position model. The record is from RNAcentral.